AUAUUUUCUGGCUUGAACUAUAAGACACAUGACACAUUAUUUUUUUGAAAGAUAGAUAGUAUGCGGGUACUAUGAGACGCGUGACACUUUAUUUUUUCAGAGAUAGAUAGCAUGCUAUCUGUUUCGUUUAUUUUAUUUAGAAAUAAACUUAGCUGGAAAUAUAAAUCAAAUAGGAUUCGAACUUUGGACCUCGAAUAUCAAUCACCAAACCCUUUACUACUUGCGCUAGUGACGGUCAGUAACGCGUGACACUUUAGUUCUCGAACUUUAUAUAAUUAGAUGCAAAUUCUGGCUCAAACUAUAAGGCAUGUGACAUUUCAGUCCUCCAAUUUCCUGGAUUGUUGCAAUUAAGUAACACAACCUAUUUUUUUGAAUGAGUAUUGAUGAAUUAUUAAUAUCGGAGUAAUAUAGUAUUUUAAUUAUUGUUGCAUUGUUAACUACGAUAUUAUUAUAAGUCAAAAAAGUUUGAGGGCUAAGAUGCCACGUAUAUCAUAUUUCGGGCCAGAAAUUAUAACUAGUUAGUGUUCAAAUAAUAAAGUGUCACACACCUCAUAGUUCGAGAUAAAAAUUACAACGAAUUAAAGUUCGAGGGCUAAUGUGUCACACGCCUCAU
Molecule: long non-coding RNA, 613 nt
Filed under: Ananas comosus (pineapple)
Lineage: Eukaryota; Viridiplantae; Streptophyta; Magnoliopsida; Poales; Bromeliaceae
Description: long non-coding RNA (ACOM_LNC029737)
Source: RNAcentral